Molecule: long non-coding RNA, 164 nt
Organism: Octopus sinensis (East Asian common octopus)
Lineage: Eukaryota; Metazoa; Mollusca; Cephalopoda; Octopoda; Octopodidae
Exons: 3
Source: RefSeq, a predicted model, not a curated record
UUGAAUCUCCCUGAGAACUACAUUAAGGGUACACGUGUCUGUGGAAUGCUCAGCCACUUGCAUGUUAAUUUCAAGAGCAGGGGGCUGUUCCGUUGAUUGGAUCAACUGGAAUCCUCGUCAUCGUAGCCGAUGGAGUGCCAGUAUACAUAUGUAUGCAAAUAUUC